Molecule: ribosomal RNA, 472 nt
Filed under: Lachnospiraceae bacterium canine oral taxon 024
Lineage: Bacteria; Bacillati; Bacillota; Clostridia; Lachnospirales; Lachnospiraceae
Description: bacterial SSU rRNA
Rfam family: Bacterial small subunit ribosomal RNA
Source: RNAcentral
GAGUUUGAUUCUGGCUCAGGAUGAACGCUGGCGGCGUGCCUAACACAUGCAAGUCGAACGAAGCAUAUAGAAGGAAGUUUUCGGAUGGAAUUUUAUAUGACUUAGUGGCGGACGGGUGAGUAACGCGUGGAUAAUCUGCCUUACACAGCGGGAUAACAAGUGGAAACAGUUGCUAAUACCGCAUAAGCACACAGUAUCGCAUGAUACAGGGUGAAAAGAUUUAUCGGUGUAAGAUGAGUCCGCGUCCCAUUAGCUAGUUGGUGAGGUAAAAGCUUACCAAGGCGACGAUGGGUAGCCGGCCUGAGAGGGUGAACGGCCACAUUGGGACUGAGACACGGCCCAGACUCCUACGGGAGGCAGCAGUGGGGGAUAUUGCACAAUGGGCGAAAGCCUGAUGCAGCGACGCCGCGUGAAGGAUGAAGUAUUUCGGUAUGUAAACUUCUAUCAUCAGGGAAGAAAAGGACGUACCUGA